Sorex araneus (European shrew) is the source of this 1628-nucleotide RNA transcript. It is a transcript of the gene named negative regulator of P-body association, with no coding region annotated. The record is from RefSeq and is a predicted model, not a curated record. The transcript is spliced from 3 exons. NCBI's taxonomy places the organism in Eukaryota, Metazoa, Chordata, Mammalia, Eulipotyphla, Soricidae.
GGAAGCUCGGUGCCUGAAGGGGACCAGCCGCCAUCUCGAGUCUCUUGCCUCGCCCGUGCCCACCGGAGACAACUGACACCUGGGUCAUAGAAUCCUUAUGGGGGACCAACCUUGUAACGCCGGGAGAUCCACGCUUCCACCUGGAAGCUCGCGGGAAGCCAAGCCUCCCAAGAAACGCUGCCUUUUAGCUCCGCGGUGGAAUUACCCCGAAGGAACCCCCAACGGAGGCAGUACCCCUCUCCCCUCCGCACCGCCUCCGUCCUCAGCGGGCCUCAAGUCGCACCCUGCUCCCCCGGAGAAGUAGUGGGAGAUACUUCGACUCGAACCAGAUUGAAGUAUGACUCCAUUUUCUCGGUGCAUUUUUAAAAUAGUUCGUCCAAUGAAGACAGUGAUUAUUGACAUGCCAUCCUGCUUUUUCUGAUGUUCUGCACCUAGAAGUUGCAAUUUUUAAGUCGUAUGAUGUAAUCAGCUUAACUUCAUCAUCUGGAUUUGGAGAAUUCUGAGAUAUGACCAAGAUCAGACUAGUCCUUUAAGAUUGAAGUGCAAGUCAAAUGAAUCAUGGUGAACUCACCACAGCAAAUAAUGCCUGUGAUAUGGAACCAUAGCAGAAAACCAGUGUUCUCUUUUGGUGACAUCCAAUACUUGCUGUGUAACUUUGAAUUACUAUAAAUACACUAAGGUCCCAAUAAAUUUUGUCUCUCAUUACUGUGUUAGAUCUGUAUGACUACUAGCUAGCAAGUUAUGACUUUACACUAUUAUUUUCAUAAUGACUCAAGAUAUAAAAUAUUGUUAAAACAUUUUGUUGUUGUGAAAUUUCAGUUAAGUGUGUGAGCAGGAGGAGAAAAAAUGUAAAGAAUUAAGUCUUAGCACAUUCUCUUAACUUUUGUUUCCUAUCUUUUGCUUUUUUGGGCCACACCCGGUGAUGCACAGGGGUUACUCCUGGCUCUGCACUCAGGAAUUACUCCUGAUGGUGCUAAGGCAACCAUAUGGCAUGCUGGGGGUCGAAACCGUAUCAGCUAUGUGCAAGGCAAAUGCCCUACCUGCUGUACUAUAGCUCCAGCCCCCUCUCUUAGCUUUUGUUGUCUACUUUUUGUUGAUUUUGGAUCAAUCCAACAACGCUCAGAGGUUACUCCUGGCUCUGCACUCAGGAAUUACUCUUGGCAGUACUCAGGGGACCAUAUAGGAUGCUGGGGAUUGAAACCUGGUCCGCCCUGUGAAAGGUAAACACUGUAACUGCUGUACUACCACACUGAUGACUUGUUGUCUACAAUUUUUAGUUCUCUAUGUCCCCUCUCCAUACUUUUCUGUCAUCUGCCAUAUCUUUUAUAUUUAUUUACAUCUUAACUAUUUUCUUUUUUUUAAUUUAAUAGUUUAUUUUUAAUUAGUGAGUCAACGUGAGGGUACAGUUACAGAUUUAUACAUUUUUGUGCUCAUGUUUCUCCCUUACAAAGUUUGAUAACCCAUCCCUUCACCAGUGCCCAUUCUCCACCACCAGUAAACCCAACAUCCCUCCCCCCCCUCUCCAGUCCUGCCUCCCCCCACCCCACACUGCCACUAUGGCAGGGUAUUCCCUUUUGUUCUGUCUUUCUGAUUAGGUGUUAUGGUUUGCAAUAAAGGUGUUGAGUGGC